GGUGUGCGUUUUUGGGGGCCUAGAUGGCGGACGGGUGAGUAACGCGUGGGAAUCUACCCUUUAGUUGGGGACAACAUAUGGAAACGUAUGCUAAUACCGAAUAUGCUCUACGGAGUAAAGGUGCCCUCUCCUUGGAAGGUAUCGCUAAAGGAUGAGCCCGCGUUAGAUUAGCUAGUUGGUAAGGUAAAGGCUUACCAAGGCGACGAUCUAUAGCUGGUUUGAGAGGAUGAUCAGCCACACUGGGACUGAGACACGGCCCAGACUCCUACGGGAGGCAGCAGUGGGGAAUAUUGCACAAUGAGGGAAACCUUGAUGCAGCCAUGCCGCGUGUGUGAAGAAGGCCCGAGGGUUGUAAAGCACUUUCAAUUGUGAGGAAGAUUAAGUAGCUAAUACCUGCUUAGUUUGACGUUAACUUUAGAAGAAGCACCGGCUAACUCUGUGCCAGCAGCC
This 450-nucleotide ribosomal RNA is filed under the name uncultured Thiomicrospira sp. RNAcentral's name for it is "bacterial SSU rRNA". It matches the Rfam family "Bacterial small subunit ribosomal RNA", at positions 70 to 516 of the family's 1533-position model. Lineage: Bacteria; Pseudomonadati; Pseudomonadota; Gammaproteobacteria; Thiotrichales; Piscirickettsiaceae. The record is from RNAcentral.